GACGAACGCUGGCGGCGUGCUUAACACAUGCAAGUCGAGCGAUGAAACACCUUCGGGUGCGGAUUAGCGGCGAACGGGUGAGGAACACGUGAGGAAUCUGCCUUCCACUCUGGGAUAACUCCGGGAAACCGGGGCUAAUACCGGAUACUUUCAACUGGCGGCAUCGCCGGUUGAAGAAAGUUUUUCGGUGGAAGAUGACCUCGCGGCCUAUCAGCUUGUUGGGGAGGGAAAGGCUCACCAAGGCGACGACGGGUAGCCGGCCUGAGAGGGCGAACGGCCACACUGGGACUGAGACACGGCCCAGACGCCUACGGGAGGCAGCAGUGGGGAAUAUUGGGCAAUGGAGGAAACUCUGACCCAGCGACGCCGCGUGAGGGAUGAAGGCCUUCGGGUUGUAAACCUCUUUCAGCAGGGAAUAAGCGAAAGUGAAGGUACCUGCAGAAGAAGCACCGGCUAACUAUGUGCCAGCCGCCGCUGUAA
This 480-nucleotide ribosomal RNA is filed under the name uncultured bacterium. RNAcentral's name for it is "partial 16S ribosomal RNA". It matches the Rfam family "Bacterial small subunit ribosomal RNA", at positions 28 to 523 of the family's 1533-position model. The record is from RNAcentral.